This is a small nuclear RNA of Sorex fumeus (smoky shrew), 119 nucleotides long. Lineage: Eukaryota; Metazoa; Chordata; Mammalia; Eulipotyphla; Soricidae. The record is from RefSeq and is a predicted model, not a curated record.
AGGCUCUCCGAGAGGGGUGGAGAAGGUUAGCACUCUCCUUGACAAGGAUGGAAGAGGCUUCGGCCUGCAACACGCAUACGGUUAAGGCAGUGUUUAGAUAGGCAAGGCUAAACAUUAUU